GCCCGCCCGUGGGGAGCGGGAGAGAGCCCGCAGGCCGGCCCUGGUUUUGCUCUGGUUCCUGGGGCCCAUGUGUGACCGAGGACCCAGCCAGCACACCGUCAGAUGCCCGCACUUCCAUGUGCCCUGUCCUGGGCAUUAAGUCUGCACCAUGCGGGCCUUGGAGAAGCAUGUGCUGUAUGUGCGGCCACCAGUGGAGGCUGGACACGCCCUCCUACAGGCCCCUGCCUGCCAGGCCGAGGCUGCUGGGAGAACCCACGGGAAGGGCGGUCACAGACCCGCCAGAAGCGUCCAGACCCAGGCGCUCUCUGCAAGCUCCUUCCACAGCCAGCCUCCUGCUCGAGGGCACCAGCCCCGCGUGAUUCCCACAUCCUCUCCGCGACGGCCGGCCAGGGCUCUCGGGACAGCCUCCACUCCGGUGUGGGGUUCUGGGGUUUGUGCAUCUGACAUAAAUUCCAAGAAGUAAACACCCUCUUAGUUCCCAUCCAAGUCUUGAGAAUUUCCUGUUGUCCCGGCCAGUCUGUGGAGUCACCCACAUCUGCACUUCAUCAGCCCCGAGGCACUGGAACAAGAAGCAGAUGGGCGGCAGGGGACGCAGCCUUCAAAGGUCCUGCAGAAGCUCUGCCGAGACCACUCUGUGUCAGGAUGAGGGUGGCUGGCGAACAGCGGCUUGACGAUCAUGCUUGCCGAGGCCGCCCCCUCCCUCCGUGUCCCUGUUCUGUGCUAGGGCUCCCGCUCUGCUGGGUAUAUGGGAGCCGCAGGCACAUAUGUGGGAGGGGGCAGUGGGACUCCACCGUGACCAAGACCCCAAGCAACAGGGAGAGCAGGAGGGUGUGAUGCACUGUGGGGGAAGCCCACCGCCCAGCUGCGAGUCCCCUUACUGGGAGUCACCCCCCGAGAGCCACAGAUCCUCCCAGGAGGGUCGCUCUUAACUUACAUGCUGCUCCCAGGCCUUCCGCCCUCCCGCGCCCAGCCUGCCAUAGCGCGCAGGGUUAGAAGCGGCGUGACAGCUGAGGGCACAGGGACCUGGAGCACCCCAGAAGUGCCAGGAGAGUGGAGGCCGAUGCUGGCCUCUGCGAACCAGGACUUCUGGGGGUGCUGCCGCUGUGUAGGAGUCUGGCCGUGGCCUCCUCCCCACUCAACCUGAGGAAAGGACCAGAGCGGGCCGCUGAGACAAUCAAACGUGUCCUCUGGGCUCUGAAACCCAGCAUUGGCUUUUUGUUGGAAGUUAGCCAUUUGAAGACUCCCGAAAGAUUAAUGGUUUAGUUAAUUAAGGAGGAAAUAAAUUCUUCCCCCAUGGAAACUUUUGGGAGACUUCCCUUUCAAGGCCCCCUUCUGCACCGUGUGCUUAGGAACACUGAGUGUUUGAGACACUGCACCCCCGUCCACCUCCGAGGAGCAGGGCACAGGCAGGAAGGGCUGGGGACAUCCCCCCAGGGCCUUCCGAGCCACCCGGGAGAGUGGGGGCCGGCAGCACCACUGUGCCCCGCACGCCCCGUCAGGUUCCGGGGGCUGAGAACAGAAAUAGAAACAGCAGCUUUUCCCUGGGCACAAGCCAAGGAAGAGGGGAAAGGAGAAACCUGACGGACACGUCUGCGACAAAUCCCCGGGGAAAAUCCCCCCCAGGCACGUCCCUCAGGAAGCCAGUGGAGAAACGCUUCUCAGGACCCAGCACGCACCACGGGCUGGUGAGGACGGAGCUGCUGCCUUUCUGGAACAGACACAGGGCGUGUGUGGGGAACCUUGCUUCACCUGUGGAUAUACAGAGCCACAUGCCAACGUGUGAAUGGAGACUGGUCCCAGGAAGUGGCAGCUCUCGGGACCGCCCUGAGCCAGGGCCCAAGCACGGGCAGUGCAAGGACAGGAAACGGUCAAAGCUCUGCUGUUACCACAGGCUGGGAACAGGACUCUCUGUCCCAGCACUGUCUUGGGCGUGUGCCCAUGAACAGUUUGCACGGAUGUGGGACACCUGCAUUCACGAAGCUUUGGAGCCUGGGUAGGCUGGGAAUCCCAUGCUGGGUUUCGGGUCUCUGGAGAUGGGACAGAGUAGGAGACCCUCUCGUGGUGUCUGCCCAGCUGGGCAGAAUAAUUCUGAGCAGAAUAGACGAAGAUGCUUCUGAGCUCCCUGGCAGCAUAAGCUCUGCCCGAGAGCCUGACCACUCACAAGGUGACCUGCCUAGUCCUGUCCCCAGCUGUGGGGGGUGACCGUUCCCAUCAAUAGCAGAGGUGGCCCAGGCCCCACGUGACAUUCGCUCUGUCCCAGGCCCCGCUGAGAGCCCCACCCAGCACAUCCAGAAUCUUACCCUUCUUGCCACCUAAGAAUGACCUGGCCUCGAGGUCCUCCAAGUACAGGUCCCUGGCCCCGAGGUCCUCCAAGUACAGGUCCCUGGCCCCAAGGCCCUCCAAGUACAGGUCCCUGGCCCCGAGGUCCUCCAAGUACAGGUCCCUGGCCCUGCAGGUCUGGGUGAACUUGCUCCCUCCAGGCACACGGGUCUCUCCCCUUCCCAGCAAUCCUGUGAUAUCUGCCCCCCUUUUGAGGGCAGCAUUCCCGUGGCGGGGGCAGGCCUGGAACACACGGGCGGGGGGAGGC
Molecule: long non-coding RNA, 2587 nt
Filed under: Homo sapiens (human)
Lineage: Eukaryota; Metazoa; Chordata; Mammalia; Primates; Hominidae
Description: HSALNT0226447
Source: RNAcentral